UGAUUCUGGAUUCGACGGGAUUUGCGAAACCCAAGGUGCAUGCCGAGGGGCGGUUGGCCUCGUAAAAAGCCGCAAAAAAUAGUCGCAAACGACGAAAACUACGCUUUAGCAGCUUAAUAACCUGCUUAGAGCCCUCUCUCCCUAGCCUCCGCUCUUAGGACGGGGAUCAAGAGAGGUCAAACCCAAAAGAGAUCGCGUGGAAGCCCUGCCUGGGGUUGAAGCGUUAAAACUUAAUCAGGCUAGUUUGUUAGUGGCGUGUCCGUCCGCAGCUGGCAAGCGAAUGUAAAGACUGACUAAGCAUGUAGUACCGAGGAUGUAGGAAUUUCGGACGCGGGUUCAACUCCCGCCAGCUCCACCA
RNAcentral lists this transfer-messenger RNA (358 nucleotides) under Xanthomonas arboricola pv. corylina. It matches the Rfam family "transfer-messenger RNA". Rfam says of the family: Bacterial tmRNA, also known as 10Sa RNA or SsrA, is named for its dual tRNA and mRNA-like properties. The record is from RNAcentral. RNAcentral also lists the same sequence under 1 other name. Lineage: Bacteria; Pseudomonadati; Pseudomonadota; Gammaproteobacteria; Lysobacterales; Lysobacteraceae.